Molecule: long non-coding RNA, 278 nt
Organism: Acinonyx jubatus (cheetah)
Lineage: Eukaryota; Metazoa; Chordata; Mammalia; Carnivora; Felidae
Exons: 2
Source: RefSeq, a predicted model, not a curated record
AGCCAUGAAGGGAAUGGACCCAUGAAGGACAAAGCCCACAGGAGGGUGCACUGGGGUGUCCAGUGGCUACCAGACGCAUGACAUCAUGACAGACUGAAUGCGGACACAGAUCUGAGAAUCCAGCUGACUUCUGGGCCACACAUUAAAACAAAGACACUUUUCUCAUUAAUUUUUUUGAAAAAUAUUUCAAAAAACAUUAUUUCUGUUGACAUGUUUUGGGCUUAUUGUUAUUUUUAAAUGAAUAAAUUUAAACUUUCUCAGUUUUACUUAUUUUUAUU